This 577-nucleotide ribosomal RNA is filed under the name uncultured Malassezia. RNAcentral's name for it is "eukaryotic LSU rRNA". It matches the Rfam family "Eukaryotic large subunit ribosomal RNA", at positions 66 to 630 of the family's 3401-position model. The record is from RNAcentral. Lineage: Eukaryota; Fungi; Basidiomycota; Malasseziomycetes; Malasseziales; Malasseziaceae.
UAACAAGGAUUCCCCUAGUAACGGCGAGCGAAGCGGGAAGAGCUCAAAUUUGAAAGCUGGCGUCUUCGGCGUCCGCGUUGUAAUCUCGAGACGUGUUUUCCGUGCGGCUCUAUGGACAAGUCCCUUGGAACAGGGCAUCGUAGAGGGUGAAAAUCCCGUACUUGCCAUGGAAGUACCGUGCCUUGUGAUACACGCUCCAAGAGUCGAGUAGUUUGGGAUUGCUGCUCAAAGUGGGUGGUAGACUCCAUCUAAAGCUAAAUAUCGGGGAGAGACCGAUAGCGAACAAGUACCGUGAGGGAAAGAUGAAAAGCACUUUGGAAAGAGAGUUAAAAGUACGUGAAAUUGUCGAAAGGGAAGCACUUGAAGUCAGCCAUGCUGCUUGAGACUCAGCCUGGCUUUUGCUUGGUGUAUUUCUCGGUAGCAAGCCAGCAUUGGUUUGUGUCGUCGGAGAAGCGUAUGGGGAAUGUGGCAUCCUCGGAUGUGUUAUAGCCCUGUGCAGGAUACGACGACGUAGACCAAGGAACGCAGUGUGCCCUCUGGGCGGGUCUUCGGACACCUUCACACUUAGGAUGCUGGC